UACGUAGGGGGCAAGCGUUGUCCGGAUUUACUGGGCGUAAAGAGCGUGUAGGCGGCCAAACAGGUCCGUUGUGAAAACUGGAGGCUCAACCUCCAGACGGCGACGGAAACCGUGUGGCUAGAGUCCGGAAGAGGAGAGUGGAAUUCCUGGUGUAGCGGUGAAAUGCGCAGAUAUCAGGAAGAACACCAAUGGCGAAGGCAGCUCUCUGGGACGGUACUGACGCUGAGACGCGAAAGCGUGGGGAGCGAACAGG
Molecule: ribosomal RNA, 253 nt
Filed under: uncultured bacterium
Lineage: Bacteria
Description: partial 16S ribosomal RNA
Rfam family: Bacterial small subunit ribosomal RNA
Source: RNAcentral